Molecule: long non-coding RNA, 233 nt
Filed under: Capsicum annuum
Lineage: Eukaryota; Viridiplantae; Streptophyta; Magnoliopsida; Solanales; Solanaceae
Description: long non-coding RNA (CANN_LNC008936)
Source: RNAcentral
UCGGGAGUCUAUCGGAAACAGUUUCUCGACUUUAUCUGAGGUAGUGAUAUGGACUGCGUACACUUUAUCCUUUUCAGAUCUCAAUUUGUGCGAAUACAUUGAAUAUAUUAUUGUUGUUGUACCGCUCCUCCAUGAGUACAACAAAAUAUUUGCUUGCUCAAACUUAAAACAUCCAAGUUAGUAUUCACUAUAUAUUUGAAGCAUGCUAAGUUCAUAUGACAUAGAUAUAUCUU